UCGGGAAUAUUGCGCAAUGGAGGAAACUCUGACGCAGUGACGCCGCGUAUGGGAAGAAGGUUUUCGGAUUGUAAACCAUUUUAGACAGGGAAGAAAAAGACAGUACCUGUAGAAUAAGCUCCGGCUAACUACGUGCCAGCAGCCGCGGUAAUACGUAGGGAGCAAGCGUUAUCCGGAUUUAUUGGGUGUAAAGGGUGCGUAGACGGGAAUGCAAGUUGGUUGUGAAAUCCCUCGGCUUAACUGAGGAACUGCAACCAAAACUGUAUUUCUUGAGUGCUGGAGAGGAAAGUGGAAUUCCUAGUGUAGCGGUGAAAUGCGUAGAUAUUAGGAGGAACACCAGUGGCGAAGGCGACUUUCUGGACAGUAACUGACGUUGAGGCACGAAAGUAGUGGGGAGCAAACAGGAUUAGAUACCCUGGUAGU
RNAcentral lists this ribosomal RNA (423 nucleotides) under uncultured Acetivibrio sp. RNAcentral describes it as "bacterial SSU rRNA". It matches the Rfam family "Bacterial small subunit ribosomal RNA", at positions 355 to 794 of the family's 1533-position model. The record is from RNAcentral. Lineage: Bacteria; Bacillati; Bacillota; Clostridia; Acetivibrionales; Acetivibrionaceae.